Long non-coding RNA from Spodoptera frugiperda (fall armyworm), 548 nucleotides. RefSeq lists it as uncharacterized. NCBI's taxonomy places the organism in Eukaryota, Metazoa, Arthropoda, Insecta, Lepidoptera, Noctuidae. The transcript has 3 exons. The record is from RefSeq and is a predicted model, not a curated record.
UCUGUCAAGCUGUCAACAUCAACAACAUCAAUAGAAUCGACACUUGAGUGUCUUUUCUUAUUAUUUUCUGAGUAAUAUUUCUUUUUUAAACUUAUUGCAUUAAAGUAUGAUGUAAAUAUAAUGGCUUAUGAAUGUGUAUUUACUGAUUUCGAUGCUACCUACAAGUAUGGUUCUGCAUAUCCACAAUAUUAGGACAACCUAUGUAGUUGAAGCAUAGGGAAGAAAACACAGAAGUUUAUUGUUGUUCCUUUAUUAAAAUAACACUUUUAUAACUGCAUAUAUGAAUUGAAAAUACAACUAUUAGCAAUCAAUGGAAAGGGGAUGCUGAGGAUGUCCAAUAAUAUUUAUUUAUUAACAGCACCAGCUCAGCAAGUGGUAUCAGUUUUAGUUUAAGCUGCCUUAGUUCCUUAGCCUGUUCUGUCUUAGUUGGUCUAAUCGAAAUACAAUACUGUUUAUUAAGAUACUGAAAUAUUCUUUGAAUUAAUUAGAUGUCUGUUUGAUUUGAUUUAAUAAUGCCAGAACAAACACAGAACACUACAAAAAGUUAA